ACGAAGUCGCGAGACUGAGUGGCGGAAGGGUUAGUAAGACAUGAGUAACCUACCUUUAACAUGGGAAUAACGACUGGAAACGGUCGCUAAUACCGAAUGAGGUGGCGGCAAGGCAUCUUGAAGCCAUCAAAGUGGGGGACCGAGCAAUCGGCCUUGCAGUUGAAGAGGGGCUCAUGGGAUAUCAGCUAGUUGGUGGGGUAAAGGCCUACCAAGG
RNAcentral lists this ribosomal RNA (214 nucleotides) under uncultured Chlamydiales CRG17. RNAcentral's name for it is "partial 16S ribosomal RNA". It matches the Rfam family "Bacterial small subunit ribosomal RNA", at positions 66 to 273 of the family's 1533-position model. The record is from RNAcentral. Lineage: Bacteria; Pseudomonadati; Chlamydiota; Chlamydiia; Chlamydiales.